This 6736-nucleotide long non-coding RNA is filed under the name Homo sapiens (human). RNAcentral describes it as "HSALNT0071795". Lineage: Eukaryota; Metazoa; Chordata; Mammalia; Primates; Hominidae. The record is from RNAcentral.
CUUGGCCCACUGCAACCUCUGUCUCCUAGGUUCAAAGUGAUUCAAGCGAUUCUCCUGCCUCAACCUCCAGAAUAGCCAGGACUACAGUUCCAGCCUGUCUCCAGACCCAAAGAGAGUUCAUCACCCCUUGACUGAAUAGAGCCUCUGGACUUCAGCUUCCAGUGGUUAGCAGCACCACCUCACUCCAGGAGAGCUGCAGGACCAGGCAGCUCUGUGCUCCCUUCUGUGUUUUAUCUGAUGGCAUUUAAAAAUUACAUAAGAUAAUAAUAGAGAAUAAUAUCCUCACCCCAUUAAUGUGUCACACAACAAUAUUUUGGUCAACAACAGACCGCAUAUACACUGUGGUCCCAUAAGAUUAUAAUGGAUCUGAAAAAAUUCCUGUUGCUUAGUGAUGUCUUAAUGACCCUGUGUAGGCCCAGGCUAACAAGUGUGUUUUGGUCUUACUUUUUAACAAAAAAAUGUUAACGGCAAAAAACAAUCAAAAUAAAAAAUAAAUAAAUAAAUAGAAAAAAACUUCUAGAAUAAAGAUAUACAGAAGGAAAAUAUUUUUGUGUACAACGUCUUUGUGCUUUUGUUGCCUGUUUAGGGUAGUUGUCCAGGUUCUUGGCGUUUUUAACAGAGAAUUGAACAAAACACACAAACAAAGCAAGGCAGUGAAGGCAGGGAUUUAAACAAAGUACACUCCAUAGGGAAGGAAAGGCCUUGAGCAAGCAGCUCAAGAGCAUUGAUUACAGAAUUUUCUGGGGUUUAAAUACCCUCUAUAGGUUUCCCACUGGUUCAUUCUGCGCAAAUCAGUCUGAUUGGUUGCAGGAGGGAACCGGUUGGAGGUACUUUCAUUUUCAACUGCCACACAGAAAAAGGAGGGGUUGCAACUGCCACAUAGCAACUGACACGCCGAAAAAGGAGGCGUUGCAACUGCCACACAGAAAAAGGAGGGGUUGCAACUGCCACGCAGCAACUGCCACGCAGAAAAAGGAGGGGUUGCAACUGCCACGCAGCAACUGCCACGCAGAAAAACGAGGGGUUGCAACUGCCACGCAGCAACUGCCACACAGAAGAAGGAGGGACUGCAACUGCCAUGCAGCAACUGCCACACAGAAAAAGGAGGGGUUGCAACUGCCACGCAGAAAAAGGAGGGGUUGCAACUGCCACGCAGCAACUGCCACGCAGAAAAAGGAGGGGUUGAAAAGGGAGUAGCUUCUGAUAUUCAGUAAGUACGAAUCGGCCUUAGGUUCCCUGCCUCAAGACCCUAUUCUCCUGCCUCACUUUUAGCUAAGGGUUAUUACAAAAGAGUCAGAAAGUUAAGACAAAAUAUGAAAGUUUAUAAAGUAAAAAGAGUUACAGUGAGCUAAGUAUAACUUAUUGAAAACAUUUUUUUAAUUUAGUAUAGCCUAACUGUGUUUAUACAGUCUACAGUAGUAUACAGUAAUAUCCUAGACCUCCACAUUCCCUCGCCACUCACUCACUCACUCACCGACUCACUCAGAGCAACAUCCAGUCCUGGAAGCUCCAUUCACAGAAGCUAUUGGAAGAGAUGCUCAAAGAAGAAAAAAUUACCAUAAUCCAAUAAAGAAGAAGACCUGAGAUCCAGGAAGCAGAUGAUCUGAACUGCAGAGAAAGUUCAGGAAAGUUCCCUCAUUCAUGAUGAUGGGAAAUAACAGUAAAUUCUGUACAGCAGUCUUGGACAACAACCAAUCUAAACUGGCACAGUGCAGAGGCAAUCAACAGAGAACAUAAUAUUGAUAGAAUGCCUGACGCUUUUGAUUGUAUUCACAGGAAACAUAAACAAUUGGAAGACAGUUUAUGAAUGAAUUAGUGAUAAGCAUUUUUUUUCAACUUUUAUUUUAGAUUCAAGGGUACAUGUGCAGGUUUGGUGCCUGGGUAUACUGGGUGAUGCUGAGGUUUGUGUUACAAAUGAUCCCAUCAUCCAGGUACUGAGCAUGGUAUCCAGUAGUUAGUUUUUAACCCUUCUCCUGUCUCUCUCCUGGUGGUCCCCAGUUUCUACUGUUGCCAUCUUUAUGUCCAUGAGUAUACAAUGUUUAGCUCCCACUUGUGAGAACAUGCGUAUUUGCCUAUUUAAUUAUUUGUUUAUUUGUUGAGACAUAGUUUCACUCUCUAGCCCGAUCUUGGCUCACUGCAACCUACGCUUCCUGUGUUCAAGCGAUUCUCUUGCCUCGGCCUCCCCAGUAGCUGAGAUUACAGGCACCUACUACCAUGCCUGACUAAUUUUUGUAUUUUAAUAGAGAUAGGGUUGCACCCUGUUGGCCAGGCUGGUUUCAAAUUCCUGAUCUCAAGCGAUCCACUCACCUUGGCCUCCCAAACGGCUGGGAUUACAGGCUUGAGCCACCACGCCCAGCCACUAUUUGCUUUUCUAUUCCUGCAUUAAUUUGCUUAGGAUAAUAGCCCUCAACUUCAUCCAUUUUGCUGCAAAGAAAAUAAUUUUGUUCUUUUUUAGGGCUGCAUAGUAUUCCAUGGUGUAUAUGUACCACAUUUGUUUUAUUUAAUCCACUGUUGAUGGACACCUGGGUUUAUUCUAUGCCUUUGCUACUACAAAUAGGGCUGUGAUGAACAUGCAAAGGCAUGUGUCUCCUUGAGAUAAAUAUUUUAAAAAUACAAUAAAAUCAAAAAAAUUAAUGUCAGGGCUAACAUACAGUUAUUAGAAAAAAAAAUAUUUUGUUAUUAUAGAUAGACACUAGCUUUAACAUAAUAAUAGUUAUGUAAGUAGUCGAAGUUCAUAUGAUCAAAAUUAUUAUUUAGCUGUUUUAAAAGAAUGCAGAUAUAAGAGAUAUACCAUUAAUGGUGAAUAGUUCCAGUAAAAGCAAGCUAAGCUCUCUUUCACAUUCCAUAGAGGGAAUUUAAUAAGCCCUGAAACCGAAAGUUCAAGAAGGAAAAGUGCAAGUCCUACAUGAAUUGAUCAAUGAUUGCCUCUGGAAAUUAUUGGUGUGAAUGGGGAGGCAAAAUUGCUAGUUUGGUUAAUAAGCUAUGUAACUGUUUGAUAAUUCUUCACUUGCAUGUAAACUUCGGUACAAAUAAAAGCUAAUGAAAACAGAGACAGAAUUAUUAAAUCAUCAUAACAUAAAGUUAACAUUUUUCAUCAUUUUUCACUUGUUCAAAGAUCAUAAGAAAUUUUCAUCUUAAUUUUCAAGCAUCAACUAAUGUUUCUACUCUCCCUGAGUACCAUAAAAAGCCUUCUGUGGACAGUCUAAGUGACAAUGACACAUUAGAUUUGGCAAAAAUUACUUUCAGAUGUAAAUCAAUUUGAGAAUGAACUGAUGCUCUGAAACCGGAAUUUACUUGUUGCUCAAAUUUGCCCCAAAAUAAAAUAAUUUUCAAUCAUAGGAGAAUUCACAGGGCCCAGCUCUCCAUUGGUGUUCCAAUCUAUUCUCUGACCUCUAUGCUGUACACAAGAAUCCUCAAUGGUUUUUCUGGAACCCAAGACAGAAAUAAUAUCCCAAAUGAUGCUUGCUCUAAGAGUAUCACUCACCCAGGGGGUUUACCCCCUGCAACUUUCCCUUUUACCAGUUUUGCUACAGAUUUUUAUGAACUUAGUUCCCCAGUCACCAGGGCCACAGAUGUUUGAAAUACUUUUCUGUCUUUUUUUUUAAGUGAUAAACAACUGAAUUCCUAUUCACUUUUACUCCACGAGUGACUUUACAAUACAUUAAAAAAAGAUAAACUGUCAGUAUUCUUUUCUUUAAAAACUGUAAAAUGCCUUUCCACUUAUUUCUUAUACUAUGUUGUCUCUCAGAUAAUACAUUGAUGCAAUUUUGGAUAAUGUUUUAAUGAAGAAGUUGACAGUAAUGCACAUUAAUUAAAAUAUGUAAAAAUCUAUAUUCAUAACACGACUUUGAAUUUUAAAUGUUUUCAGUGAAAACAUGUCAUAUUGUAGACAUGCUGAGAAAAUUCUACAUAUUUAUUUAUCCAGUCCUCAUCCAACAGAUAUCCCAAUGGCAAUAGAAUGCAAUUUGUGAAAAGGUUUAUAAAAUAAGUGGGUUUAACUGAAAUUCAACUUUCAUUAACUGUUGAUUGAGCACUCUGUCACUAUUUUAAGUAUUAGAAAUACAGUAGUAAACAAAUUCUACCUAAUUCUUGACCUCAGGUACUUUCCAUUUCACUGGUAUUACUUGAUAUUUUUAAAGAUUACACAUAUAGGUCAAUAGAUCUCCAUGAAACAUAAAAAUAGUAAAAAGAAGGAGAAAAAAGAGGAAAGGGAAGGGAAAUAAAGUAUACAAGUCAUGCAUUAUCUGUUCUAGUCAACACAAUAAUUCAUUUUCUAUUGUUUUGACAUCUGGGUGGUGGGGGGAACCCACAACUCGCAUCCUUCAUUGACUAUGUUUGCAAAGUUUGGAGAGAAAAUUUGCAGGGUCCCAUUUUAGAUGGCUAAGUCUGAGAUGCCAAUUAGACAUGCCACAGGAGAUGUAGAAUAAGAGCUGAAUAUUUCAGUCUAGAAUUCAGUAAAGGAUUUCAACUGAAGAUCAAAUGUGGAAGUCAUCAGCCUAUAGAUGAUAAAGCACAUAGCAAUUCCGACAUAGAUUAUAAUGAAAUUUAUAAAUCUGAACACCACUGAUUUCUCAAUCCCCCUUCAUCCUCUUCCUUUUUCUCUCCUUUGUCUCCUCUUCCUCCUUUUUCCUUAUUUCUUUCUCCUCCUCAUUCUCCUUACACUCUUUCUUCUCCUCCUCCUCCUCCUCCUCCUCCUGCUCUGCUUGGUGAGCAGAUGGGACUGAGUUAAAUUACAAGCAUUUUCUUUGUUUCUCUAUCCUUUUCUUUAUGGCACUUUAGUAAAUGAGGCCUUGCUCCCCUCCCAUAGGUAUAUGUGUAUUGCUUAUACUGUCGGCUUUGAAAUAUUACUAAUAAGCUCUACUCACCUUGCUUGCAGUCCAUUUUAGAUUUUUGAAUGUCACCAACUAUAUCCUCUGUUUUUACCCACCUACCAAAACUUAAAUAGAAGCACAUAUUGUUUUAUUUCUUCAGAGACUGUCCAAUCUAAGGGUAAACUAGGCCAAUCCAUAAAGAUGGGUACAGAUUUGAGACUCAUGGACAGAGAGGACUUAGAUUUGACUCAUUGCUUUCACUUUGUGAAAGCCAAUUCAAAGUGUCUACAGUUAAGAAUAAAAAGAGAGGGCACACUGUCCCUCCAUGGCCCUGAUUUUUCCUCUGUGAGGCAUGCCAGUAAUUAGAUGGUCUCCAUAUAUGGCAUACAAGGAGAAUUUGGUAAAAUCAGAAGAGGCUGGAAAUUUUGGACGCUUUAAAUUCAGAUACUGAAGCAUGUCGGCAUUCAAAGACUCACCCUGUUACCAUAGAAAUAAAUCCUUGUCUUACCAGUUACACAUUUCUUUACUUAAUUCUAACUGAACCAUUAGGUUUAUUGAAUUUUUAGUACAAAAAGCUCACCAUAGCCUACUGUGUAGUAGAGAUCAAUUUACAUUUUACUGAAGAUUUCUAGAAGAGACCAUGGAAGGGUAUUACUAUACACAACAUACAACUUCGCACAAUGUCUCUCUUCUCAAGCUCCUGCUGCCAUGUAACUCAUAAUGUCCCUUCCCGAUUCACUGGCAAUUUUUCCCAUUUGCUACAUAGAGUUGUUUAGGCUGUGCCCCACAUCCAUCUCACCACUCAUCAAAGAGCUUUUCAGAGUAUAACAUCAUGACAAAAGUGUCUGGGAUAACAAAUGAUAGAUAAUAUCUCCUGUAACUCAGUUGUUCAAAAAAAAAUCACUGAGAGAUGAUAGUAUGGAUAUACAAAGAAGUCUCUUAUGGCCUUCAAGAGUACAUCUCUAAUGCUGUAAGAUCCUUGUGUUUUAAAAACUUUCAAACAAUCCAAUUCAUAUAUUGAAGCACUUAAGGAAAGACUAGAGACUAUAGCGGUUCAGCACUUUGCAAUGUGUGAAAAAAAUUAAGCCAUAAUUUCUGCUUUUACAUCUGUAUUUUAAAAAAUUAUUACUCCUUUACUAACAUUAUGAGCAUUUUAUGAACAUCAUAAUUUAUCUCCAUUGCCCUUCUCUUGGUCUGUUUCAGUUGAUAUAUAACACACUACAAAUUGCUAAAAGUAAGUUAUUACAGUGAGCAAUUUCUAAUUAUUUCCUCUGAUUAAAGCUUAGAUAUGUCAAGGAAGCUGAUCCCACAUGUUACUGUUUGAUGAGAAACUAUGCUUUAUAAUUAAUCUCUGCCAUUUAAAAAUAUAUAUGAAUUGGAUUUUGCAUUAAUAUCUGUGAAACGUUUUAAUUUUAUUUCUCAUUUCUUUCUGAUUUAUUAAGGGAUAAAUUAUCAUAGCCAACAUAUAUUAGAAAAAAUAAAAUACUAUUAUGAUUAAUAAGAGUAUUACAUGUUCUACUUGUAUAAGAGAAAACAGUUGAACACCUGUCAGAAAAGUUUAUAAUCAGAUGCAAAUCUAACUUGUGUCUGCUAUGUCUACAAACUUUCAGUUCCUUUACUUGUAUUCUUUAUAUUUUUAUCAAUUUCUCAGUUAUUAGUAGAAAAAAUUUUACCCCAUGCAGACUUUGUUAUAUACCAAUGGUUUCCAAACUUUAAAAGCCAGAGGAAUUGUUGAAACAUAUUGCUUGACCCAUCACCAAAGUUUAUAAUUAAGUAAGUCUAAGGAAGAACCCAAUAAUUUGCAUUUUUAAUAAAUUUUCAGGUGCCAGUGAUGCUGCCAGCCAAGGGACUACAUUUUGAGAACCACUACUAUAAGUUUCUUAAAAUCUAAUACAAUAAGUUUCUUCAUUGUUUUUAAUCAGGAU